UCCACAUACGCAUCCUUUGCUGAGGAUACGGUUAACGGAGCGCAAGCGACGUUCAACCUCAAAAGAAGCAGAGGGGGCUUAGUGGUGGGGUGACUGCGUACCUUUUGUAUAAUGGGUCAGCGACUUAUAUUCUGUAGCAAGGUUAACCGAAUAGGGGAGCCGGAGGGAAACCGAGUCUUAACCGGGCGUUAAGUUGCAGGGUAUAGACCCGAAACCCGGUGAUCUAGCCAUGGGCAGGUUGAAGGUUGGGUAACACUAACUGGAGGACCGAACCGACUAAUGUUGAAAAAUUAGCGGAUGACCUGUGGCUGGGGGUGAAAGGCCAAUCAAACCGGGAGAUAGCUGGUUCUCCCCGAAAGCUAUUUAGGUAGCGCCUCGUGAAUUCAUCUCCGGGGGUAGAGCACUGUUUCGGCUAGGGGGCCAUCCCGGCUUACCAACCCGAUGCAAACUGCGAAUACCGGAGAAUGUUAUCACGGGAGACACACGGCGGGUGCUAACGUCCGUCGUGAAGAGGGAAACAACCCAGACCGCCAGCUAAGGUCCCAAAGUCAUGGUUAAGUGGGAAACGAUGUGGGAAGGCCCAGACAGCCAGGAUGUUGGCUUAGAAGCAGCCAUCAUUUAAAGAAAGCGUAAUAGCUCACUGGUCGAGUCGGCCUGCGCGGAAGAUGUAACGGGGCUAAACCAUGCACCGAAGCUGCGGCAGCGACACUCAGGUGUUGUUGGGUA
Molecule: ribosomal RNA, 726 nt
Filed under: Salmonella enterica subsp. enterica serovar Telelkebir
Lineage: Bacteria; Pseudomonadati; Pseudomonadota; Gammaproteobacteria; Enterobacterales; Enterobacteriaceae
Description: partial 23S ribosomal RNA
Rfam family: Bacterial large subunit ribosomal RNA
Source: RNAcentral